This 486-nucleotide ribosomal RNA is filed under the name uncultured bacterium. Its description in RNAcentral is "partial 16S ribosomal RNA". It matches the Rfam family "Bacterial small subunit ribosomal RNA", at positions 28 to 507 of the family's 1533-position model. The record is from RNAcentral.
GAUGAACGCUAGCGGCAGGCUUAACACAUGCCAGUCGAGGGGCAGCGCGGGAUAGCAAUAUCCUGGCGGCGACCGGCGGAAGGGUGCGUAACGCGUGAGCGACAUGCCCGUUGCCCGGGGACAACCGGUGGAAACGCCGACUAAUCCCCGAUGGGAUACGAUGCUUCAUGGCAUUGUAUUGAAAGUUACGGCGGCGACGGAUUGGCUCGCGUCCGAUUAGCUGGUUGGCGGGGUAACGGCCCACCAAGGCUGCGAUCGGUAGGGGUUCUGAGAGGAAGGCCCCCCACAAUGGGACUGAGACACGGCCCAUACUCCUACGGGAGGCAGCAGUGAGGAAUAUUGGUCAAUGGGCGGAAGCCUGAACCAGCCAUGCCGCGUGCGGGAAGGAGGCCCUAUGGGCUGUGAACCGCUUUUGCCUGGGGGCAAUAAGGGCGUCGCGCACGUCCGAUGAGAGUACCAGGCGAAUAAGCAUCGGCUAACUCCGUG